Molecule: ribosomal RNA, 468 nt
Filed under: uncultured bacterium
Lineage: Bacteria
Description: partial 16S ribosomal RNA
Rfam family: Bacterial small subunit ribosomal RNA
Source: RNAcentral
GACGAACGCUGGCGGCGUGCUUAACACAUGCAAGUCGAACGGAAAGGCCCUGCUUUUGUGGGGUGCUCGAGUGGCGAACGGGUGAGUAACACGUGAGUAACCUGUCCUUGACUUUGGGAUAACUUCAGGAAACUGGGGCUAAUACCGGAUAGGAGCUCCUGCUGCAUGGUGGGGGUUGGAAAGUUUCGGCGGUUGGGGAUGGACUCGCGGCUUAUCAGCUUGUUGGUGGGGUAGUGGCUUACCAAGGCUUUGACGGGUAGCCGGCCUGAGAGGGUGACCGGCCACAUUGGGACUGAGAUACGGCCCAGACUCCUACAGGAGGCAGCAGUGGGGAAUAUUGCACAAUGGGCGGAAGCCUGAUGCAGCAACGCCGCGUGCGGGAUGACGGCCUUCGGGUUGUAAACCGCUUUCGCCUGUGACGAAGCGUGAGUGACGGUAAUGGGUAAAGAAGCACCGGCUAACUACGUG